Molecule: telomerase RNA, 1415 nt
Filed under: Colletotrichum fioriniae PJ7
Lineage: Eukaryota; Fungi; Ascomycota; Sordariomycetes; Glomerellales; Glomerellaceae
Description: Ascomycota telomerase RNA
Rfam family: Ascomycota telomerase RNA
Source: Rfam by way of RNAcentral
UCGCACGACACCUCUCCCUCAGUUCUCCGACUCUCGUUUUCCUCGGAAUGUCUAUCGUAGACCUCUCAGUCAGGGCUGACACCCCGUGAUGCGUCGCACCUCAACCUGAAUCAGGACUUUGAGCUUGCCGCGGAUGGAAUCAUCACGGCCUAUGGUUGUCUAUACCAGACAAUUCAGUCCAGCUGAGAGAACGAGCUUCGGAACUUAACCCUAAGUAUCCUUUUGGUUCAAGUCUUGCGCCCGCAGUCGUCGAAUCUGUCUUUUAAAUCCGCCCGGCUCCUCGAUGAUGGUACUCCGCUGAAAAGCGGUAUCGCACUCGAGGGUCGCGGUGGAUGGACUGGCAGGGAACACAUUCCAGUCACCGUUUGGUGCGCGAAAGGGGGUUACUAUGAGUCGUAUGGGUAAGAGCCUCUGGUCCGAGGCCACUCGUCAGGACCUUUCCGCUGGAACCAGAACUCUGGCCAAGAAUAGGUCGCCCGGAGAAGAUGGCAGACAUGGUUUGCAGGGUCGAGUUGGCAACAAGCUGCUGUCUCGAGGUGUUGCUACGGACAAGUGGAAGGAGCACUGCGUUUGCCACGAACGGUCAACAUCGAAGUUUCAAUCCACCCACAACCUGCCUUGGAUUUGACUCGCCGGUCGUACAACAGUACUGCGAUGUUUCCAGGCCUACAAACAGAAACUUUUCGAUCUGACGAAUCUCAUCGCCACGCUCAGCUCUCGGCGCCCACUUGUUUAGUACACCAGCCCGGGACUCACUCAGCAGCCAGUCGGCUUCUCUCCGAGCCACACCCACGGCAAUUGCCACGGAUGUGACAUGUCCGCAUGUGAUCUGGCCAGGCGCAUCAGCCUCCAGUCGUGGGUUCUGUCCCACGGCACCGGAGGACGCCAAGUCCACGUUGAUCCCGCUGGGAACCAACACUUGCCCGGUGCUGCUCUAGCGAGAAGCACCGGAUGAGAGCGCGAUUUUUCAUGGAUGUAUUUUGUCCGCGCGGAAUGCCCUCCAUUGUGUUUCGAGCACGGAGAGGAAACAAAAACUAGUCCAAGGAGGUCGUGCGAUUCAAACAGAGAGAACUUGCCCCCGAGUGCUUGAGAGUACGCAGACUGGGAUCCAAUUCGCCGAGCUCCGGGUGGCUGUGUAAGUGAAGGUUGUGGCUCGUGAGCGGGAGACAACUCGGGCAACAUACGCAGAGGCUCUGGGUGGGUGGGCUAGACUGGCUGAACAGGUCUGAAGCGAUGCCGGGACCCAUCUCGUGUUGGAGUCAAAGUUUUGUGCUUGUCCGGGAUCGUGGAAGACUUGCACUGUUGGUCUAUUCCCUACCCCCAUGAGCCUCGGCACUCGUUGGACGAAAAAGGGCAGGCCUAUGGAGGGCAGUCCUGGUUGCCAUCUCUCCAGAAAUGGCGAGAUUGGCAACCCC